GCAAGCCUGAACCAGCCAUGCCGCGUGAAGGAUGACGGCCCUAUGGGUUGUAAACUUCUUUUGUACGGGAAAAAACCACCGGUCGCGUAUCGGUGAUGAUGGUACCGUAAGAAUAAGCAUCGGCUAACUCCGUGCCAGCAGCCGCGGUAAUACGGAGGAUGCAAGCGUUAUCCGGAUUCAUUGGGUUUAAAGGGUGCGCAGGCGGAGUGAUAAGUCAGUGGUGAAAAGGCCUACAGCUUAACUGUAGUAACUGCCAUUGAUACUGUCAUUGCUUGAGUAUUCGAUUGAGGUAGGCGGAAUCCGAGCUGUCAUGUAGUCGAGUUUGAAAUGACUUAGAUAUCGACACAGGAGACACCGACUCGCGAGAGGCAGCUUACCAAGCAAUAACUGACGCUCAUGCACGAAAGCUGCCCUGGGGUAUCAAACAGGGAUUAGAUACCCUGGGUAGUCCACUGCACGAUAAAGCCGAUGAUCACUCGAUGUUGGCGAUAAUCACAGCUUCUCACAGCGUCUUAGUAGGAAAGUAUUAAGUGAGUCCACCGCUUGACCGAUGGCAAGUACAGAUCGCAAGGUUGAAACUCGAAGGAAUUGACGGGGGCCCUCACGGCACAAGCGGAGGACAACCCAUGUGGCCCCUUGUAGAAUGUUCGAUGAUACGCGAGGAACCUUUCACAAUCUGGGCUCAAAUGUCCACGAAUGACAGAUCGCAGGAAACCAUGUUCUUCUUCGCGUAUCAUCGAAUCUACAAGGUGCUGCAUGGCAUGUCCCUCAGCUCGUGCCGUGAGGUGUCGGGUUAAGUCCCAUAACGAGCUUCAACCCUUGCGAUCGUUACUUCCCAGGUCGGGUCAAGCCUAAUACUUUCCCUAACGAAACUGCCUCCUGUCAAGUAGUCGCCAACAAGGCGGGGAUGACGUCAAAUCAGCUUACGGCCCUGGAUACGUCCCAGGGCUAUCUCAUCCUGUUUGAUCCCCAAUGGCUUUCGUUGCAUGAGCGUCAGUUACUGCGUGAUACAGCUGCAAAUCUCGAUCAAAGUCGGUCUCAGUGUCGGAUCGAAGUCU
RNAcentral lists this ribosomal RNA (1058 nucleotides) under uncultured bacterium. RNAcentral describes it as "bacterial SSU rRNA". It matches the Rfam family "Bacterial small subunit ribosomal RNA", at positions 377 to 1306 of the family's 1533-position model. The record is from RNAcentral.